UCGUAUUCAAUGAUGGAUGUAGGUGUAGAGAGAAAGGGCGCACCAGUCAAAAAAAGAGAUUGGCUUUCGUUGUCUGCUGUAACUUUACUCUCUGCCUCUAUUUUCAUGACUGACUAUGAG
This 120-nucleotide non-coding RNA is filed under the name Drosophila pseudoobscura. Lineage: Eukaryota; Metazoa; Arthropoda; Insecta; Diptera; Drosophilidae. The record is from miRBase by way of RNAcentral. RNAcentral also lists the same sequence under 1 other name.